Molecule: non-coding RNA, 348 nt
Organism: Rattus norvegicus (Norway rat)
Lineage: Eukaryota; Metazoa; Chordata; Mammalia; Rodentia; Muridae
Source: the annotation of a RefSeq genome assembly
AUGGAGAGGAACCUGGGAGCUGUGCUGGGGAUUCUGUGGGUGCAGAUUUGCUGGGUGAGAGGAGAUGGGGUUGAGCAGAGUCCUUCAGCCUUGAGUCUUCAUGAGGGAACCAGUUCUGUUCUGAGAUGCAAUUUUUCUAUCACCACUACAAUUGUGCAGUGGUUCCGACAGAAUCCUAGGGGCAGCCUCAUCAAUCUGUUUUACCUGGUUCCAGGAACAAAGGAGAAUGGGAGGUUAAACUCAACAUUCAGUUCUAAGGAGCGCUACAGCACCCUGUACAUCAGCAAUGCCCAGCUGGAGGACUCAGGCACCUACCUCUGUGCAGGGCAGGCACAGUGCUCCCAGUGA